UUUCGCAAUGCCCGAAAGGGUGACGAAGCGACGCCGCGUGCGGGAAGAAGGCCUUCGGGUUGUAAACCGCUGUCGGGAGUUAAGAAGUGCAAGGGUGUUAAUAGUAUCCUUGCUUGACUAAGGCUCCGGAGGAAGCCACGGCUAACUCUGUGCCAGCAGCCGCGGUAAUACAGAGGCGGCAAGCGUUGUUCGGAAUUAUUGGGCGUAAAGAGCACGUAGGCGGCUGUGUAAGUCGGUUGUGAAAGCCUUCCGCUCAACGGGAGAACGGCAUCCGAUACUGCAUGGCUUGAGUGCGGGAGGGGCGAGUGGAACUUCUGGUGGAGCGGUGAAAUGCGUAGAUAUCAGAAGGAACACCGGCGGCGAAGGCGACUCUCUGGCCCGUAACUGACGCUGAGUGUGCGAAAGCUAGGGGAGCAGACGGGAUUAGAUACCCCGGUAGUCCUAGCCGUAAACGAUGGGCACUAAGUAGAGGGGUUUU
Molecule: ribosomal RNA, 478 nt
Filed under: uncultured Planctomycetales bacterium
Lineage: Bacteria; Pseudomonadati; Planctomycetota; Planctomycetia; Planctomycetales
Description: bacterial SSU rRNA
Rfam family: Bacterial small subunit ribosomal RNA
Source: RNAcentral